AUAACCCUGCGGUGUUUGUGAAGGCACACUAUUCCUUUGAACCAAUAAUUUCGCUUCAGGCUGCAGAUUGAGUGGUGGGCGUGCGCGUUCCUCGUGGACGUACCCGAAACUGCCGGAAGUGGCCAACCUUGAUUCAAGGUUCAAGCGAAUCGAGCCAAAGCGGCAUUCGCGGGGUUACC
This is a non-coding RNA of Eikenella corrodens ATCC 23834, 179 nucleotides long. NCBI's taxonomy places the organism in Bacteria, Pseudomonadati, Pseudomonadota, Betaproteobacteria, Neisseriales, Neisseriaceae. The record is from Rfam.